AGAACACCGAGUGCUCCACAGACGCAGGGAAAGUUGGUGAGAGGUGCAACGGGAAACAGUGGUGUAAAGUCAAAGCCAGGAACUAUGUGUUGGGAGAUCCCUGCUAUGGGACCUACAAGUACCUGGAGGUGGAAUAUAUUUGUUACGAUGUUCCCCAGUUGUG
This is a long non-coding RNA of Poeciliopsis prolifica (blackstripe livebearer), 163 nucleotides long. RefSeq lists it as uncharacterized. The record is from RefSeq and is a predicted model, not a curated record. The transcript has 3 exons. NCBI's taxonomy places the organism in Eukaryota, Metazoa, Chordata, Actinopteri, Cyprinodontiformes, Poeciliidae.